GAUGAAGAACGCAGCGAAAUGCGAUACGUAAUGUGAAUUGCAGAUUUCAGUGAAUCAUCGAAUCUUUGAACGCACAUUGCGCCCGCUAGUAUUCUGGCGGGCAUGCCUGUUCGAGCGUCAUUUCAACCAUCAAGCCCCCGGCUUGCGUUGGAGCCCUGCGGCUGCCGCAGGCUCCCAAAUCCAGUGGCGGGCUCGUCGUCGUACCGAGUGCAGUAAACAUCCUCGCUCAGGGAACGUGACGGGUUCUUGCCGUGAAACCCCCCACAUAUCAAGGUUGACCUCGGAUCAGGUAGGAAUACCCGCUGAACUUAAUCAUAUCAAUAAGCGGAGGA
Molecule: unclassified non-coding RNA, 332 nt
Filed under: soil metagenome
Description: partial contains 5.8S ribosomal RNA, internal transcribed spacer 2, and large subunit ribosomal RNA
Rfam family: 5.8S ribosomal RNA (bases 1-120)
Source: RNAcentral